Molecule: ribosomal RNA, 253 nt
Filed under: uncultured bacterium
Lineage: Bacteria
Description: partial 16S ribosomal RNA
Rfam family: Bacterial small subunit ribosomal RNA
Source: RNAcentral
UACAGGGGGUGCAAACGUUGCUCGGAAUUAUUGGGCGUAAAGCGCGCGUAGGCGGCUACUUAAGUCGGAUGUGAAAGCCCUUGGCUCAACUGAGGAAGUGCACCCGAAACUGAGUGGCUAGAGUACGAAAGAGGGUCGCGGAAUUCCCGGUGUAGAGGUGAAAUUCGUAGAUAUCAGGAGGAACACCGGUGGCGAAGGCGGGUCUCUGGGCCGAAAUUGACGCUGAGGAGCGAAAGCGUGGGGAGCGAACAGG